UCACCUUCCCGCCCACGCCUUAUAUAGGUUUCCCUCACGCCCGGCAGCCAAUAGGAGCUCAGAACGCACCUUUCUCUGCCCGCCCUUUUCUCUCCCCGCCCUUUUUUCUUCCCGCCCUUUUCUCUUCCCGCCGUUUUUUUCCUCUCACCUCGCCCUUCCCGCCCUUCACACCUGAAGGGGCCGGGUCGGGGUCAUCUGAAGGUCACAGCUGGGGUCAGCUGAAGGUCACAGCCCCUCGCAGGGCGUUGCCGCCCAUCUCCUCAGGGCUGAGUCUCUCACAGGACAAAGGACUCUACAAGCUGGAAACCAGUUGUUUCAAGGCCUGUUCCUCCAGGAGGAACAACAAUGCCAAGAAAAUUAUCUUAAUGGUUUUUUUCCUCAUGUUUGGGUCGACACAAUUCUAUCCUAGCUACAUUUACUGGCAAACUUACUAAACAAACAAGGCUGCCCAAACUCUCCAUCUCAUGUGCUGGUUGAAAGUGGAAGUUUAAUUACACACUCCCUUGUUAUGGACUGAUCAUUAUCUCUUUGUAUAUGGUUUGUGGGGUGCUAUUUUUGUGAGAAGAAAAGGGUGAACAGAAGUACAUGAAAAUAGAGUCUGCAGGUUUUCUGUCUUCUGCCAAGUAAUUGUUAGCAAUCUAUCUAGUGGAGAAUCUAUUUCUUCAUUUUAAUUGUUGGGAAUUUAGACAAUGUGCACCUCUCUGUGGUGAAAAGCAAAAGGAAUCAGAAGCAGGCAAAGAAAUAAUUAACCUUCAAGAAAUUUGUGGAUGAAAACUACACUGCAGUCAAAUUUGCCCAAGCUGAGGCACAGCAAUAUGGAGUACUAUGACUGGAACCUUUAUGUGCUCUAGAUACACCCUUUAUAUAGGCCACAAAAAUGGCAUAAAAUGUUCAAACAUGAUGUUUUUCAAAUUCACUUUGGUACUUUGGCUUCACGUUCUCAGUUAAGACUCUGCUUUUGGUUUAACACAUCGCCACUGUUCUUAAGAAAAAAAGAUUUGAAGCAUUGCUGUUUGCUAGCACAUCUGCAGAAGCUGUGAAAUCAUGGGCUAUCAGGAAGAGUGCUUUUGAUGAGUGAUGCCAUUUACUGAGAGUUGGGCUGGGAAAGCUCAGUUCCAUCUCCACCUCGAGGCACUGUGGCCUGGUACCCUGUCAAGUGCCUGUGAGGAGCCAGCUGUGUAAG
Molecule: long non-coding RNA, 1183 nt
Filed under: Coturnix japonica (Japanese quail)
Lineage: Eukaryota; Metazoa; Chordata; Aves; Galliformes; Phasianidae
Description: lncRNA (ENSCJPG00005003919.1)
Source: RNAcentral